Molecule: transfer RNA, 72 nt
Filed under: Ictidomys tridecemlineatus (thirteen-lined ground squirrel)
Lineage: Eukaryota; Metazoa; Chordata; Mammalia; Rodentia; Sciuridae
Also listed under: 1 other name
Description: Spermophilus tridecemlineatus (thirteen-lined ground squirrel) tRNA
Rfam family: tRNA
About the family: Transfer RNA (tRNA) molecules are approximately 80 nucleotides in length. Their secondary structure includes four short double-helical elements and three loops (D, anti-codon, and T loops).
Source: Rfam by way of RNAcentral
GGGGAUGCAGCUCAGCGGUAGAGCACUUGCCUAGCAUGCAUGAAGUCCUGGGUUUCAUCCCCAGCACCACAA